Non-coding RNA from Cervus elaphus (red deer), 1046 nucleotides. The record is from the annotation of a RefSeq genome assembly. NCBI's taxonomy places the organism in Eukaryota, Metazoa, Chordata, Mammalia, Artiodactyla, Cervidae.
GAGCCCCGCUCCCAGCCAGCAGCAGUCUUGGGUUCCUGAUGCUGCCAUGGGCUCCAGGCUCCUCUGCUGUGUGACUCUCUGCCUCCUCGGAUCAGGCCUGGUGGAUUCUGGAGUCACCCAGACCCCCAAGUACCUGAUCAAAUCAAGAAAGCAGAACGCGACUCUGAGAUGUUCCCCUGAAUCUGGACACCGCUCCGUGUACUGGUACCAACAGGCCCUGGGCCAGGGCCCCCGGUUCCUCGUUCAGUAUUACAACCAGAGGGUGUGGGGAGAAGCACAGCUCCCGGAUCGAUUCUCAGGAGAACAGUUCAGUGACUCUCGCUCUGAGCUGAGCUUGACCCCCUUGGAGCUGACGGACUCAGCCGUGUAUCUCUGUGCCAGCAGCCAAGACACAGCCCUGCAUGAUCAGAUGCCUCUGGUACAAAAACACUCCUACCCCAGCUCAGGAAGUGGUUGCCAGGGUGUCAGCUGCCAGCCAGCCAGAGCCAGACCCAGGUAGAGCUGAUAGCCUUUCCCAGACAUUCUUUCCUUUGUACAUUUUAAUGCUCACAUAGAUCAUGCAAGAUAAAGAUUAUUUUAACUGUUUAUACAUCUGAUGGGAAGUGACUUGCCCAGAUCUCAUAUUUCCUAACUGUCAGACAAGGAAUCAGACUCAAAGCUGUCCUCAACACCUGUGUUCUCUGCUCCCCAUCUUUUAAAGGAGUUCGCUCCACGUAGCUGUUACAGCUGACAAGUCCAAAUCUGCAGGUUGGACUGGUGAUGCUAGAGGUUCAGGGAGAGCUGAUGUUUAAAUUCAAAGGCCCAAGAACUGAUGGUCCAGUUUGAAGGCCAUCAGCUGAACAGUUCUCUCUUACCUGGGGGAGGAUCAGUCUUUUCGUUCUAUUCAUAUCUUCACUGGUUGGAUUAGGCCCACUAAGACUGUGGAAUGGAAGGUCAUCUGUUUAAAAUGUUAAUCUAACCUAAAGUUAAAAUCUACCUAUUUAUAUGUUAACCUCUUCCAAAACCAGUCUCACUUAAUACCCAGAAUAAAGUUUAAUUAAAUGUCU